UAUAACAUCAUUAGUUUUUUUAUACAAUGUUUUAACUCUUCGUUUUAUUUGAAAUUAUUUUGCGAUUAAUAUUUUUAUUUUUACUGGAUGAUAAAACAUAAAUAGUAGUUUAUGUGACUAAUUUUUUAAAGUUUUGUCAAAAUUUUUAAAUAAGACGAAUGGUCAAAGGGUUGGACACAUAAAUCAAAAAAUAAAGUUAUU
Molecule: microRNA precursor, 201 nt
Filed under: Oryza brachyantha (malo sina)
Lineage: Eukaryota; Viridiplantae; Streptophyta; Magnoliopsida; Poales; Poaceae
Description: MIR812 microRNA precursor family
Rfam family: MIR812 microRNA precursor family
Source: Rfam by way of RNAcentral